RNAcentral lists this ribosomal RNA (930 nucleotides) under Triticum aestivum (bread wheat). RNAcentral describes it as "partial small subunit ribosomal RNA". The record is from RNAcentral. Lineage: Eukaryota; Viridiplantae; Streptophyta; Magnoliopsida; Poales; Poaceae.
AUGGCCGUAGCUCGGAGGACCCUGGUUGCACUGCUCGCCACCGUUUGCAUUGCCAUCUCCUCGGCCGCCGCGGCGACCAGCGUUAACACCACCGACUUCGUAGGCUGUCUCGCCGUCCACCUUCCUCCGGGGAUCGUCUACACGCAGUCGUCGGAGUCCUACCCGUCCGUCCUCGAGUUCUCCAUCAAGAACCUCCGGUUCGUCACGCCGGCCACCCCGACGCCCCUCGUCAUCGUCAAGGCCACCCACGCCACACACGUCAGGAUGACCGUGCGCUGCGGCGCGGCGCACGGCGUCCGCGUGCGCCCGCGCAGCGGUGGCCAUGACUACGAGGGGCUCUCCUACCGCUCCCUCGACGCGGCUCGCCCUUUCGCCGUCGUCGACCUGGCGGCGCUGCGCGCGAUCCGCGUCGACGUCCGGAGCAGGUCGGCGUGGGUGGAGUCCGGAGCCACGCUUGGGGAGCUUUACUACGGCAUCGCCAACAAGAGCGCGCGUCUCGGGUUCCCCGCCGGUGUCGGCCCGACGGUGGGCGUCGGCGGGCACCUCAGCGGCGGCGGCUUCGGUCUGAUGCUACGGAAGCACGGCCUCGCCGCGGAUCAUGUCGUCGACGCCGUCAUGGUGGAUGCCAAGGGGAGGCUCCUGGACACGCCAUGGGGGAGGACCACUUCUGGGCCAUCCGGGGCGGCGGGGGCGGGAGCUUCGGCAUCGUGGUGUCCUGGAAGCUCCGGCUGGUGCGCGUGCCGGCGACCGUCACCGUGUUCACCGUCCACCGUCCAAGAAACCAAUCCGCCAGCGAUCUCCUCACCAAGUGGCAGCACGUGGCGCCGGCCCUGCCCCGCGACAUCAUCCUCCGGGUGGUCGUGCAGAACCAGGACGCGUAGUUCGAGUCCCUGUACCUCGGCAGGUGCACCAGCGUCGUCGCGACGAUGA